AGACAAGAGGUGUUAACACGCUCCGGCUUCGAACCGGAGAGAGAAAUAAAUUCCUUGCCUU
RNAcentral lists this transfer RNA (61 nucleotides) under Proasellus parvulus. RNAcentral's name for it is "transfert RNA-R(CGA)". The record is from RNAcentral. Lineage: Eukaryota; Metazoa; Arthropoda; Malacostraca; Isopoda; Asellidae.